Molecule: long non-coding RNA, 2147 nt
Filed under: Capra hircus (goat)
Lineage: Eukaryota; Metazoa; Chordata; Mammalia; Artiodactyla; Bovidae
Description: lncRNA (ENSCHIG00010007973.1)
Source: RNAcentral
UAAAUAUGUCUUUUUUAAAAAGAAAUACAUAUGUGGACAAAUAGACAUGCAGAAACUUAUUUAUUUCAGCCUUGUCUAUAGGAGGAAUGGUGGUGGUGAUGGUUUAGUCACCGAGCCGUGUCCGACUCUUGCGACCCCGUGGACUGUAGCCUGCCAGGCUCCUCCGNCCCUGGGAUUUUCCAGGCAAGAACCGACUGAGCUACCAGGGAAUAAAUAAUUCCAAGUCAUCUGAGUAUCUGUCAGUACAAUUCAUUCUGUAUCAUUUGAAAUAAACUUAUACUGGUACUCUUCAUAUUACUGUGGCUCCAUAGCAAAUUACCCCCACAAUGUGGUAUGAAACAAUCAUUUAUAUUGCUCACAGAUUCUAUGGGUCAAAAAUUCACACAGAGCACAACAGAGAUAACUUUCUCUACUCCAUUAUGCACAGAGCCCCAACCAGAAGAGCCAAAGGCUGAGGACUGGAAUCAUCUGAAAACUUUUCACUCUCCUAUUGAUGUUUGAUGCUGACUGGAGGCUGCAGGCUGGAGACCUCAGUUUGAUUUAAUGUAGACCAUGUUGUCUCUUAGUAUGGACUGGUUUGGGGCUUCCUCACAACCUGAUGGCUGGGUUCCAAGGGCAAGUAUGCCAAGAGAGACAGAGAACAAGACCGAAACCGAGCCAGGUAAAAAGCAUAUACCUUUUAUGACUGAGCCUUAGAAGUUAUACAGUGUUGGUUCUACUGUAUUCUAUCUGUCCAAGUUCCAGAGGAGGGGGAAAUAGACCCUAUCUCUUGACUGAGGAGAAGCAAAGUUCUUACAGAACAUGUGGGCGUUUUGGGAAAUUGCAAGUUGCUACAAGUGCUUAUGUGGAAGGACCUCCUAAGUUCCUUAAGGGUAAAUAAAUGAGAUGAAUAAUAAGUACACUGUGAUCCCAUUUAUGGCUUUUUAAAAAAAUGCAAUACAAAACCAUAUUUCCAAAUGUAAACACACAAUGUUUAAAGAUAUGUAUUUUCAAACCACAUAGUUUCUAAGUAUAACCUGGGUCUUCAGCCAAAGAAACAAUGAUCCAUUCAAGUCAGGCAGGAAAAACUGGCCAAAAUGGUCUCACCAUUUCCUCAAGACAGGUUGAAGUGUCAUUUUUGCUGAGAAAACUCUCUUACUCAUUAACUGUGGAAUAUAAGCUUGUCCUUAAAUACAUGUGAUUCCAUUGUCCUGAAUGAGUGGCCACAAGUGUUCAAAUUCUUUCUACCUUGUAUGUUGUCAUUGAGUUUUCUCACACUAGAGGGCUGAUUUGAUGUUGUUUCUUUCUGAAGGAUNNNNNNNNNNNNNNNNNNNNNNNNNNNNNNNNNNNNNNNNNNNNNNNNNNNNNNNNNNNNNNNNNNNNNNNNNNNNNNNNNNNNNNNNNNNNNNNNNNNUCUCACACUAGAGGGCUGAUUUGAUGUUGUUUCUUUCUGAAGGAUAUUUUCAGAAAGAUGAGAUUUGUAAAGAACUCCUAGAGGUCAGGAACUGAGUCAUUCAUUUCGUAUUCACUUAUCUAACACAUAAAAAGGGGUCUUGUUAAGUUUUUUGACUAAAUUAUGCUAUUCCUUCAUUAGUUUAGGAUAUUUAUAAUUACAAAUAAAUUCUGGCCUCCUUGCUAAUUAAUAAACUAAUAAGAUAUCUGCUAUCUAAGCUCCAGUUUCUCUGCUUUAUAUCCCAGUGUUUAAAUAUCAAUGAUGAGCUUCUAAAUAAGAUGAUUUCUCUAGGAAAUUUGUCCUUCUACUUAAGAAAUCUUUUCUUUAUUACUCGUGUUGCUGUUGUUCAGUCGCUAAGUCAUGUGUGACUUUUUCCCAACCCCAUGGGCUACAGCAUGCCAGGCUUCCUUCCCAGUCCUUCACUAACUCCUGGAGUUUGCUCAGACUUAUGUCCAUUGAGUGAGUGAUGCCAUCCAACCAUCUCAUCCUCUGUCCUCCUGCCCUCAAUCUUGUCCAGCAUAAGGGUCUUUCCCAGUGACCUGGCUCUUCACAUCGAGUAGCCAAAGUAUUGGAGCUUCAGCUUUAGCAGCAGUUCUUUCAAUGAAUAUUCAGGGUUUUUUACUCACGUUUUUGAGUAAUAUGCUAUGAUAAUAGCAUUAUUUUAGGCAAAGAAAUAGAAUUAGUUCUAUUUAUCUAUUUCUUUAGGCAUAUCUGC